CAGCCGCCACGGGAAUACGGAGGGUGCAAGCGUUAUCCGGAUUUAUUGGGUUUAAAGGGUCCGUAGGCGGAUCUGUAAGUCAGUGGUGAAAUCUCACAGCUUAACUGUGAAACUGCCAUUGAUACUGCAGGUCUUGAGUAAAUUUGAAGUGGCUGGAAUAAGUAGUGUAGCGGUGAAAUGCAUAGAUAUUACUUAGAACACCAAUUGCGAAGGCAGGUCACUAAGAUUUAACUGACGCUGAUGGACGAAAGCGUGGGGAGCGAACAGGAUUAGAUACCCCUGUAGCCCUGUCUCUUAUACA
RNAcentral lists this ribosomal RNA (301 nucleotides) under uncultured bacterium. Its description in RNAcentral is "partial 16S ribosomal RNA". It matches the Rfam family "Bacterial small subunit ribosomal RNA", at positions 509 to 809 of the family's 1533-position model. The record is from RNAcentral.